RNAcentral lists this ribosomal RNA (1207 nucleotides) under Candidatus Phytoplasma noviguineense. Its description in RNAcentral is "bacterial SSU rRNA". It matches the Rfam family "Bacterial small subunit ribosomal RNA", at positions 173 to 1374 of the family's 1533-position model. Lineage: Bacteria; Bacillati; Mycoplasmatota; Mollicutes; Acholeplasmatales; Acholeplasmataceae. The record is from RNAcentral.
AUAGGAAACACUAAGGCAUCUUAGUGUUUUUAAAAGACCUUUUUCGAAAGGUAUACUUAAAGAGGGGCUUGCGCCACAUUAGUUAGUUGGUAGGGUAAAAGCCUACCAAGACGAUGAUGUGUAGCUGAACUGAGAGGUUGAACAGCCACAUUGGGACUGAGACACGGCCCAAACUCCUACGGGAGGCAGCAGUAGGGAAUUUUCGGCAAUGGAGGAAACUCUGACCGAGCAACGCCGCGUGAACGAUGAAGUACUUCGGUAUGUAAAGUUCUUUUAUCGAAGAAGAAAACGUAGUGGAAAAACUACCUUGACGCUAUUCGAUGAAUAAGCCCCGGCUAACUAUGUGCCAGCAGCCGCGGUAAUACAUAGGGGGCGAGCGUUAUCCGGAAUUAUUGGGCGUAAAGGGUGCGUAGGCGGUUUGAUAAGUCUCUAGUUUAAAUUCAGUGCUUAACGCUGUCCUGCUAGAGAAACUGUCUGACUUGAGUAAGAUAGAGGCAAGCGGAAUUCCAUGUGUAGCGGUAAAAUGUGUAAAUAUAUGGAGGAACACCAGAGGCGUAGGCGGCUUGCUGGGUCCUUACUGACGCUGAGGCACGAAAGCGUGGGGAGCAAACAGGAUUAGAUACCCUGGUAGUCCACGCCGUAAACGAUGAGUACUAAGUGUCGGGGUUCAUCCCUCGGUACUGAAGUCAACACAUUAAGUACUCCGCCUGAGUAGUACGUACGCAAGUAUGAAACUUAAAGGAAUUGACGGGAUCCCGCACAAGCGGUGGAUCAUGUUGUUUAAUUCGAAGAUACACGAAAAACCUUACCAGGUCUUGACAUACUCUGCAAAGCUAUAGAAAUAUAGUGGAGGUUAUCAGGGAUACAGGUGGUGCAUGGUUGUCGUCAGCUCGUGUCGUGAGAUGUUAGGUUAAGUCCUAAAACGAGCGCAACCCUUGUCGUUAGUUGCCAGCAUGUAAUGAUGGGGACUUUAACGAGACUGCCAGUGAAAAAAUUGGAGGAAGGUGAGGAUUACGUCAAAUCAUCAUGCCCCUUAUGAUCUGGGCUACAAACGUGAUACAAUGGCUAUGACAAAGAGCAGCUGAAACGUGAGUUUUUAGCAAAUCUCAAAAAAAUAGUCUCAGUUCGGAUUGAAGUCUGCAACUCGACUUCAUGAAGUUGGAAUCGCUAGUAAUCGCGAAUCAGCAUGUCGCGGUGAAUACGUUCA